Chionomys nivalis (European snow vole) is the source of this 3237-nucleotide long non-coding RNA. RefSeq lists it as uncharacterized. The record is from RefSeq and is a predicted model, not a curated record. The transcript is spliced from 7 exons. Lineage: Eukaryota; Metazoa; Chordata; Mammalia; Rodentia; Cricetidae.
CUGCCUAGGCUCCCACAAAGCCAGUACGUGCAGUAGGAUCAAAACCCAGUGCCAUUGUUCUUGACUUCUCAGCAGUCCUCAUUGUCUGCUAUGUUCAGCGAGUCCGGUUUUAUCCCAUGCUUUUUUAGACCCAGUCCAGCUGGCCUUGGUGAGUUCCCGAAAGACCGUCCCCAUUGUCUCAGUGUGUGGGUGCCCCCCUUGCGGUCCUGAGUUCUUUCCUCGUGUGAGAAUGCAUUCUUUCACAUUCCCAGUGAGGGAGGUCAGGGACUCCUAUGGCUCUUAUGUGGAGAAGGUUCAGAGAGGUGGAGACAACAGACAGGCCUUGGAGUCUGGGGUGUUUUUAGCCAGGAUUUGCUAACAGUUCAAGAUGGCCGAGGUUUGCUAUCCGUCUCAUAUGUAAGUCUCCCAGCUUGUGGUGAACAUCCAGGGUCUGCCCAUCCCACCCACCCUCUUUCUCAGCCCCACUUCCUGCCUUUCAACCUUGGCCCAUCCCAUUCAUGUGCUGGCUUUACCCUGACAAGUCUCCCGCCAUGGGACUGUGCUUGAUGAGUCUGUGUGGCUGAAGCUGGGUUAGUCAAGGCCUAGGCACAGAGCCUUGAGCUGUUGGUGUCCUGGAUCCCAGAUCCCAGCCACCACUCUCAGGUAGCAGAGUGUUAUGUUUCCGGAAGACUUUGUUCCCUAGGCUCCCUGGACAGCACCUGCUAGGGUCAUCCCUCUGAGGGCCAAGGGGAAAGGCUAAUGUGAUGAACCAGCUGACAGAGCCCAGUGCUGGAGCCGACCCCCUGAAGUCCUGAAUGAUUGUCCCUGGAAUGCUCGAGCAUCUGUCCAGAGCAGUUCUGAAGGUCACAAGGCAAGAAGAAACAGAGGAGAUAGCACAAGGAAGGUUGGAUGAAGCCUGAACUGGGACCUCCAGGCCGGAGGGAGGUCCUUUCGUAGUGUGAUCGCUCAGUGUUCCAGAGAGAGAGAGCAGCAUUGGACAUAAAGGGAAUUCCCGCCAUCUUUCCACUCAGCACAGUUCAAGUUGAGCAGCCCCAGAUGGGAGGCCGUAGAGCCCGGGGGAAGCUGGAACCUGGACACCAGGGCCCCUUGGCAAAUGGAGAGCCAUGUUCCUGAUAUGGCCUGUCCAGCAUCUGUCACUUGAAGCUGUCCUGGGCUUAUUCUCGGAUGUUUAGACCCCUUUAGUGAUAUGGACAGACAAUGAACUGGAACGCCAGUAAUACAAAAACAGGACAAAUUCAGCAUACCCAAAGAGAAGGAGAACGGGCAGGUGACAGACAGGUGGAUGUGUACACGCUUCACUUAUAUGGCCUGGGGCAACUGUCCUCCCUGUGUACUCACAGACACGUGUACACGUGUACUCAGGAAAAGAGACUGGAUAGAAAUGUACCCAGCAUCCUCCCUGACAUGAUGGUGUCGGUGUCUUAGAGCAGCCAUCCAUGCUGUCCUUCUUCCUCUCCUCGGUGUCUAUUGAAGUUUGCUGCCACCUGACAGCCAAAGAGGAGACAACGCUCUUUGGAAAGCUGUGCCAUGGUCUUGUUGACCAUGGUAAUCCUGCUGCGAAACAGAAGCCAGAACGUCUUCUAAUCUGGCCGCCACUAAUACCCACUGACCACCUGUAGGCACAAUUCUACUCUCAGCGUCAAGGGGUCUGUUUCUUGGCCUCCACAUAUGUGAGCUCGGCUAUUGCUCCAGUACCACGACUGCCUGCCUGCCACUGUGAUCCCUGCCUUGAUGAGCAUGGACCCACUUUGUGAAACUGUGAGCAAGACCCCAAUUAAAUGCUGCCUUUUAUAAGUUGCCUUGGUAAUGGUGUCUCUUCACAGCAAUAGAACAGUGACUAAGACAGAAGUUGGUACCAGGUAUUCGGGGACUGCUGUGACAGACCUGAACAUGCUGCUUGUUGGAGAAACAUGGAAGACUUGGGACCUUUGACUGGAAAAUCUGUUGAAUGCUUUAAGUGGAGCUUAAUGGGCCCUUCUAGUAGGAUCUUGGAAGACAGUGUUGCUGAUGUGGACUGUGGAGGCACAACUAAAGAGGUUUCAGAGAGGAAGCAAUAUUAGCCAUUGACCUAGAGACUAUUCUUGUGAUAUUUAUGCAAAGAAUGUGGCUGCUUCCUGCCCUUGUCAAACAAUUCAGCCAGAGGCUAAAUUGAAAAGUUUUGGAUUAGUAUCUUUAGCAGAGGAGAUUUCAAGACAGCCUAGUACUGACUGUGUCACGUGCUUACCAAUCACACAGAUCUACAAUGAAAAUGAGCAGGCAGUGCAAAGAGAAAUGCAAACCCUACAGCACAGGGAAUGUAAUGUUGGAGCAAGUCCUGUGCUCCCGGAGAUGAGACGUUUAAAGAAGAAUCUGCUGUAAAAUAGAAUAAAGGGAGUGAGACCCCACCAGCUAAUCCUGCUCUUGUGAAAAGAACAGGCCUAAGAAUAGUCUGUUCCUAAAGAGCAGCAGCAGAGGAAAGCUGUGCAAAUGUCACUCAAGCAGGGGCCAGGCUCCUUCAGAGCAGGCGAAGAGCUUGGCAGCAUCAGCGCCAUGGUUUCGGAUUGAGAGUCAUGAAGCACAUAGGAGCAAAGGGGUUGUUGAACCUUGCUCAAGAUGUUGUAGAUGCCAGAGCCAGGACACCUGCCAAGGAGAGCUGCGGACAGGGCAUGGAACUAGCUCAAGAGAGGAAGGGGAUUAUAUGCCUCUUUCUCUUGGAUAAGAUGUGAGCGCUCAGCUCCAUCUCAGUCUCCAGCACCAUACCUGCCUGAUGCCAUGUUCCCUGCCAUGAUGAUAUGGACUGAGCCUCUUAGCGCUGUAAGAAAGAAAUGCUUCCUUUUAUAAGUUGCCCUAGCCAUAGCGUCUCUUCACACUAAGACAUAGUGUGAUAGCCAAAGUUACACUUUAAGAAAUUUGAGAAAUCCAUGAAACAAACAAAAAAAAAUGCAUGGGAUCUGCAAGCCCAUUGCCCAAGGGCAAAUAGUUCCUGGAAUUUGCUCCAUAGACAGAGACCUGCCUGCCACUGCCUUCCUAGUGCUGGGAUUAUGGGAGAUAAUAAGCUACACAUUUUCACUUCCCUAAACAAGCUUGUUUGACCCAAAUAUACCAUAUGAGCUUGAUCACAUGUGGGCAGGUUCACAGGCAGGAAAUACAUCAGAAUGUAUGCUUGCCCCUGAUUGGACCUGAUGGGAAAUAUUUUAAGUCCCUGCAAACUAUGACUUAGGGCCAUUUCCUGGGUAGUCAGGUAUGGACCUGGCCAGC